GGAGUUAGCCGGUGCUUCUUCUGUGAGUGAUGUCCUUCCUGCCGGCUAUUAACCCGCAGGCCUUCUUCCUCACUGAAAGUGCUUUACAACCCGAAGGCCUUCUUCACACACGCGGCAUGGCUGGAUCAGGGUUGCCCCCAUUGUCCAAUAUUCCCCACUGCUGCCUCCCGUAGGAGUCUGGGCCGUGUCUCAGUCCCAGUGUGGCUGAUCAUCCUCUCAGACCAGCUACGGAUCGUCGCCUUGGUGAGCCGUUACCUCACCAACCAGCUAAUCCGACAUAGGCUCAUCCGAUAGCGCGAGGCCCGAAGGUCCCCCGCUUUCCCCCGUAGGGCGUAUGCGGUAUUAGCCUGGGUUUCCCCAGGUUAUCCCCCACUACCGGGCAGAUUCCUAUGCAUUACUCACCCGUCCGCCGCUCGCCACCAGGGAGCAAGCUCCCCGUGCUGCCGCUCGACUUGCAUGUGUUAGGCCUGCCGCCAGCGUUCAAUCUGAGCCAGGAUCAACUCUGA
Molecule: ribosomal RNA, 506 nt
Filed under: uncultured bacterium
Lineage: Bacteria
Description: partial 16S ribosomal RNA
Source: RNAcentral